This 72-nucleotide transfer RNA is filed under the name Loxodonta africana (African savanna elephant). RNAcentral's name for it is "tRNA-His (GTG) (tRNA-His-GTG-7-1)". It matches the Rfam family "tRNA". Rfam says of the family: Transfer RNA (tRNA) molecules are approximately 80 nucleotides in length. Their secondary structure includes four short double-helical elements and three loops (D, anti-codon, and T loops). Further hydrogen bonds mediate the characteristic L-shaped molecular structure. tRNAs have two regions of fundamental functional importance: the anti-codon, which is responsible for specific mRNA codon recognition, and the 3' end, to which the tRNAs corresponding amino acid is attached (by aminoacyl-tRNA synthetases). tRNAs cope with the degeneracy of the genetic code in two manners: having more than one tRNA (with a specific anti-codon) for a particular amino acid; and 'wobble' base-pairing, i.e. permitting non-standard base-pairing at the 3rd anti-codon position. The record is from Rfam by way of RNAcentral. Lineage: Eukaryota; Metazoa; Chordata; Mammalia; Proboscidea; Elephantidae.
GCCUUGAUUGUACAGUGGUUAGUACUCUGCAUUGUGGCUGCAGCAACCUUGGUUCAAAUCCAAGUCAUGGCA